GUUUGGCGUGCAAUGGCUUGAGAUAGCUUCAAACUUGGACUGCCAUUGAUGAUGCCUCUUUAAAACAGUAGGAGGAAAGGAGCUUCCAGUUGGAGAGUGUUGCUAAAAACAGGUUCAAAAUGAUGAAUAGAUGUAGUAUAAAGCAAGGCCAAGCUCAGUUCUUUGUGAUUUUUUUUUUUGACUGUUUUGGAAAUGCAUAAAAUGAAGUGUUUUUUUUUUUUUUGAGUGAGAGCAUGAAUGAAUUCUGGUUUGAUGAUGCAGCUAGUAGUUUCCAAUGACAGAAAAUGAUCUCCCAAAAUUCUGUUGGAUGUACAAGGCAUGGUAUGGAAGUAUGGAGUGGAAAUGUCCUUUUGUUCCAAAAUUUAAGCAAGUUGGCAUGGCCUCUUGUUUUGC
RNAcentral lists this long non-coding RNA (393 nucleotides) under Lathyrus oleraceus (garden pea). RNAcentral describes it as "Pisum sativum (pea) long non-coding RNA (PSAT_LNC040735)". The record is from RNAcentral. Lineage: Eukaryota; Viridiplantae; Streptophyta; Magnoliopsida; Fabales; Fabaceae.